ACUACAUUAUUGGUGGUAUCUUAAUUUCUUUAGUUGGGCUAUGAUGAUUCUAAUUCUAGGCCUAAUAAAUUUUGAAGAUUAAAGGCUGUUAUAGGUCUGAUUGGGUUAUUGCUUCAUUUUUUAUUGUUCAUGUGCGAAGAAUAGCGGAGGCUGUCAACUAUUAGGUCCAAAUCAGGUGAUCCACUUUAUGCCUAAAGGCUGAAACUGCAGAUGAAAUAUUUACAGAAAAUGGAGAAAACUGUUGGAAGGUGAAUCGAGACUAGGAGGCAGAUGAAAACACUCCCAAAAUCAAGUUAGUAUGUAUAGAAGAGAUGAAGAGGAAGAGGAGAAGGAACCCUUGUCUUAAUUGUUGGACUCUAAUGUGUCAAACCCAUAGAGGCAUAGUUCAAAUGCCGACCCUAAAACGGAUGUACGUGAAUAAACAUUUAUUUUUAAUUCUUUAACACAUUGUUUAACUAAGUAUGCUAAAUCUUCCUCUAUAAUCGUAUCAAUUUGGAGUGAGCCUUCAAACUU
Molecule: long non-coding RNA, 513 nt
Organism: Helianthus annuus (common sunflower)
Lineage: Eukaryota; Viridiplantae; Streptophyta; Magnoliopsida; Asterales; Asteraceae
Exons: 3
Source: RefSeq, a predicted model, not a curated record